RNAcentral lists this long non-coding RNA (484 nucleotides) under Rosa chinensis. RNAcentral describes it as "sRNA RchiOBHm_Chr7g0205591". The record is from RNAcentral. Lineage: Eukaryota; Viridiplantae; Streptophyta; Magnoliopsida; Rosales; Rosaceae.
UGUCUCUCUCAAGGAAUCAAGGAUCAUGUGCAGUUGUAUAUGUAGGGACUAGAAGCUAUAAAGUAAAUUGAUAAAUGAUAAAAUUGUCAAUGGAGUCUAAAGAUAUAGUUGCUCUUAGAGAUAAUGUAUGACGACUACCACAUCUCAUAUUUUAAUGCAAUUUUCCUGGAGUUCCUGGACAUAUUUUAGACAUCAUCACCAUUGACUUUCCAUGUGCAGUUAAUUUUGGAACUUGGUCCGUACAUUGAGGAGCUCACAAAAACAGGAGGUGUCAUAAAGGAGUUUGUUAACCCAAAACACUAGUAAGACUUCAUUCAAGCCCUCAACUCGGUUAGUGUAUGAUGCAAGACUACCCAAAAACAUGGGAAGAUCAGAAAUGCUCAAGCUUCAAUCAAAUUUUGUACUAAUGCUUUCACCUUUUGUUAGACUAGUCUGUAGCACUUAAAUGCAUUUAUGAAACUAUCUAAACAAUGGAUGUAUUAAU